RNAcentral lists this ribosomal RNA (460 nucleotides) under uncultured bacterium. RNAcentral's name for it is "partial 16S ribosomal RNA". It matches the Rfam family "Bacterial small subunit ribosomal RNA", at positions 338 to 795 of the family's 1533-position model. The record is from RNAcentral.
CCUACGGGAGGCAGCAGUGAGGAAUAUUGGUCAAUGGGCGCGAGCCUGAACCAGCCAAGUAGCGUGAAGGAUGACUGCCCUACGGGUUGUAAACCUCUUUUAUAAAGGAAUAAAGUUAGGCACGUGUGCCUUUUUGUAUGUACUUUAUGAAUAAGGCUCGGCUAACUCCGUGCCAGCAGCCGCGGUAAUACGGAGGAUCCGAGCGUUUUCCGGAUUUUUUGGGUUUAAAGGGAUCGGAGAUGGGUUGUUAAGUCAGGUGUGAAAGUUUGCGGCUCAACCGUAAAAUUGCAAUUGAUACUGGCGGCCUUGAGUACAGUUGAGGUAGGCGGAAUUCGUGGUGUAGCGGUGAAAUGCAUAGAUAUCACGAAGAACUCCGAUUGCGAAGGCAGCCUACUAAACUGCCACUGACAUUGAUGCACGAAAGUGUGGGUAUCAAACAGGAUUAGAUACCCCGGUAGUC